Molecule: long non-coding RNA, 501 nt
Organism: Xenia sp. Carnegie-2017
Lineage: Eukaryota; Metazoa; Cnidaria; Anthozoa; Malacalcyonacea; Xeniidae
Exons: 3
Source: RefSeq, a predicted model, not a curated record
GGUUAGACGAAGUUCGUUGUGUAGGAAAUGAAAAUAAUAUUUCGAGUUGUUCACAUAGUGGAUGGGGAUCACAUAAUUGUACACAUGAUGAAGAUGCUGGUAUACAAUGUUCAGUUAUCAACUCUGUUAGACUUCGGGGACCAGAAAGUUCUAUUGGCAAAGGUCGUGUAGAAGUAUUUUACAAUGGAGAAUGGGGAACAAUUUGUGAUGAUGGCUGGGAUAUAAACGAUGCUAAAGUUGUGUGUCGACAACUUGGUUAUGACUAUUAUUUCAGGGCUUUACUAGGAGGUAAUGUUCCACAUGGUAGUGGAAGAAUAUGGUUAGACGACGUCCAAUGUGUAGGAAAUGAAAGCAAUAUUUCGAGUUGUUCACAUAGAGAAUGGGGAUCACAUAAUUGUAGACAUAAUAAAGAUGCUGGUGUACAAUGUUCAGUUAUCAACUCUGUUAGACUUCAGGGACCAGAAAGUUCUAUUGGCAAGGUCGUGUAGAGUAUUUUACAAU